This 403-nucleotide long non-coding RNA is filed under the name Homo sapiens (human). RNAcentral's name for it is "HSALNT0159892". Lineage: Eukaryota; Metazoa; Chordata; Mammalia; Primates; Hominidae. The record is from RNAcentral.
CGACUCUCUGAGCCAGCAGCUUUCCUCUCCCUCUCGGGGAGAAUCUCAUUUCCUUGGGGUGGUGAGGGUGACGGGCACUGUCUUUUGGCCCCGCGUGUCCGUUCCCCGGUCUCCCGCCUCACCCCUCUGCGAGGUGAGGAGGGGAAACGGCGAGCUUAGGCCUGGCGGGAAGGAGCCUACCCGACGAGAGGGCUCCGCGGGGAGGGUCGGUUGGAAUCCCGCCCUAGCGCCUCCUGCUCUGCCCGGUCCCCACCGGGGACGGGGAAUGCCAGUCAUUUCUGUUGAGUGCUAGCAGGGCCGGUGUCACCACCUCGGGUGGCCGAGGCUUCGAGGUUUUCAUGAAAAGCCCCCGAAGCGUGAGGCGCCCGCCCAGUGGAGAACAAAGGGCCGAGGGCCGAAGGCG